This 286-nucleotide RNase P RNA is filed under the name Bacillota bacterium. RNAcentral's name for it is "partial RNase P RNA component class A". It matches the Rfam family "Bacterial RNase P class A", at positions 65 to 367 of the family's 367-position model. Rfam says of the family: Ribonuclease P (RNase P) is a ubiquitous endoribonuclease, found in archaea, bacteria and eukarya as well as chloroplasts and mitochondria. The record is from RNAcentral. Lineage: Bacteria; Bacillati; Bacillota.
AGCAGGGUGCUGGAUAACGUCCAGUGGGGGCAAAACCCUAAGGAAAGUGCCACAGAAAAUAAACCGCCAAUAGCUAAAUUUGGUAAGGAUGAAACGGUGCGGUAAGAGCGCACCAGAGUUCAGGUGACUGAAUUGCUUGGUAAACCCCACCCGCAGCAAGACCAAAUAGAGGAAGGAUGAAGUUGCUCGCUGACUUCCUGGGUUGGUCGCUGGAGAUGGUAGGCAACUGCCAUACUAGAUAAAUGAUCGUCCUCGACAGAACUCGGCUUAUCGGUUAGCUCGCUUU